UUCCGACGCCAGAGCAAACAGUCAGUUCAACGUCAACGCUCAGAAUCGCCGGUCACAAGCUCAGAAGAGCUCCGCGAAUCAAAUUAAAACUACUUGAAGUGAAUGCACUGAACCUGCAACUUUAAACAAUAUAAGG
Molecule: long non-coding RNA, 136 nt
Organism: Fopius arisanus
Lineage: Eukaryota; Metazoa; Arthropoda; Insecta; Hymenoptera; Braconidae
Exons: 2
Source: RefSeq, a predicted model, not a curated record